RNAcentral lists this long non-coding RNA (6545 nucleotides) under Homo sapiens (human). RNAcentral's name for it is "HSALNT0202385". Lineage: Eukaryota; Metazoa; Chordata; Mammalia; Primates; Hominidae. The record is from RNAcentral.
AAUCUCAACCAAAACCCUAGUGAGGCAUUUUUGGAUAUUCACAACCUAACUCUAAAGUUUAUAUGGAGAGGUAAGAGACUCAGAAUAUCAAACAAAAUAUUAAAGGAGAAUAACAAAGUUGGAGAACUGACACUACCCAAUUCCAGGCUUACUCUAAAGCUACAGAAAUUAAGACAGCAUGAUACUGGCAAGAGAAGAGACAAAUAAAUCAAUGGAACACAACGAAGAACCUAGAAAUAGACUCAUAAAUCUAGUCAACUGAUCUUUGACAAAGGAGCAAAGACAGUACAAUGAAGCAAAUAUGAUCUGUUCAACAAAUGCUGCUGGAACAAGUAGACAUCUGCAUGUCAAAUAAGGCAAAACAAGGAAUCUAGACACCACAAACCUUACACUCUUCACAAAAAUUAAUUCAAAACAUAUCGUAGGCCUAUGUGUAAAACAUGAAAGUAUACAACUCUUAGAAAACAACAUAGGAGAAAACCUUGGGUAUGAUAAGACUUUUUAGAUAUAACAGCAAAAACAUAAUCAUGAAAGAAUCAAUAAGCUAGACUUUAUUAAAAUCAAAAAUUUCUUCUCUGUGAAAAACAGUGCUAAGAGAACGAAAAGACAAUCUACACUGUGGAAUAAAAUAUUUUCAAAAGACACAUCUGAUAAAGGAUUGUUAUCCAAAAUAUAUGAAGAACUCCUAAAACUCAACAAUAAGGAAAUGAUCUAAUUUAAAAAUAAGCAAAAACCUUAGCAGGCACCUCAUCAAGGAAGAUUACAGAUUACAAAUAAGUAUAUGAAAAUCUGUUCCUCAUUAUAUGUCUUCUGGGAAAUACAAAUUAAAACAGUGAGAGAUACCACUGCACAUUUAUUAGAAUAGCCAAAAUCUGGAACACUGACAAUACCAAAUGCUGGCAAUGAUGUACAAUAACAGGAAUUCUCAAUCAUUUCUUGUGGGAAUGCAAAAUAAUACAGAUCCUUUGGAAGACAAUUUUGUGGUUUAUAAACAAAACUAAACAUAUGAAGGGGUGGGUUGCCCCUCCACCUGUGGGUUUUUCUCGUUAGGUGGAACGAGAGACUUGGAAAAGAGACACAGAGACAAAGUAUAGAGAAAGAAAAAGGGGGCCCAGGAGACCGGCGUUCAAUACACGGAGGAUCCCACCGGCCUGAGUUCCCUCAAUAUUUAUCCAUCAUUAUUGGGUGUUUCUCGGAGAGGGGGAUGUGGCAGGGUCAUAGGAUAAUAGUGGAGAGGAGUUCAGCAGGUAGACACGUGAACAAAGGUCUCUGCAUCAUAAACAAGGUAAAGAAUUAAGUGCUGUGCUUUAGAUAUGUAUACACAUAAACAGCUCAAUGCCUUAAAGAGCAGUAUUGCUGCCCGCAUGUCCCACCUCCAGCCCUAAGGCGGUUUUCCCCUAUCUCAGUAGAUGGAAUAUACAAUCGGGUUUUACACUGAGACAUUCCAUUGCCCAGGGACUAGCAGGAGACAGAUGCCUUCCUCUUGUCUCAACUGCAAGGAGGCGUUCCUUCCUCUUUUACUAAUCCUCCUCAGCACAGACCAUUUAUGGGUGUCGGGCUGGGGGACGGUCAGGUCUUUCCCUUUGCACGAGGCCAUAUCUCAGGCUAUCACGUGGGGAGAAGCCUUGGACAAUACCUGGCUUUCCUAGGCAGAGGUCCCUGCGGCCUUCCACAGUGUUUUGUGUCCCUGGGUACUUGAGAUUAGGGAGUGAUGAUGACUCUUAACAAUCAUGCUGCCUUCAAGCAUUUGUUUAACAAAGCACAACUUGCACAGCCCUUAAUCCAUUUAACCCUGAGUUGACACAGCACAUGUUUCAGGGAGCACAGGGUUGGGGGUAGGGUUACAGGUUAACAGCAUCUCAAGGCAGAAGAAUUUUUCUUAGUACAGAACAAAAUGGAGUCUACUAUGUCUACUUCUUUCUACACAGACACAGUAACAAUCUGAUCUCUGUUUCUUUUCCCCACAAACAUACUCUUACCAUAAAAUCCAGCAAUCAACUUCUUGGUAUUUACCCAAAGGAGAUGAUUAUUUAUGUCCACACAAAAACCUACACACAGAUGUUUAUAGCAGCUUUAUUCAUAAUUGCCAAAAGUUGGAAGCAACGACAAUAUUCUUCAGUAGGUCAAUGGAUAAUACUGUGGUGUAUCUGGAUAAUGGAAUUAUUAUUCAGCACAAAAGAAGUGGAACAUCAAGCCACGAAAAGACUGGGAGGAACCUUAAAUGCAUAUUACUAGGUGAAAGAAACCAGUCUGAAAAGGCUAUAUUAUGUAUGAUUCCAACUAUAUGGCACUUUAUAAAAGACAAAACUAUGAAGACAGCAAAAAGAUCAAUGCUCACCAGUGUCAGGCCUCUGAGCCCAAGCCAAGCCAUCGCAUCCCUUGUGACUUGCACGUAUACACCCAGAUGGCCUGAAGUAACUGAAGAAUCACAAAAGAAGUGAAUAUGCCCUGCCCCACCUUAACUGAUGACAUUCCACCACAAAAGAAGUGUAAAUGGCCGGUCCUUGCCUUAAGUGAUGACAUUACCUUGUGAAAGUCCUUUUCCUGGCUCAUCCUGGCUCAAAAAGCACCCCCACUGAGCACCUUGCGACCCCCACUCCUGCCCGCCAGAGAACAAACUCCCUUUGACUAAUUUUCCUUUAUCUACCCAAAUCCUAUAAAACGGCCCCACCCUUAUCUCCCUUCGCUGACUCUCUUUUCCGACUCAGCCCACCUGCAGACCCAUCUGACCUCUCCCCUCCUCGCCAGACUGAGCUAGGUCCCAAUUCUUCCUCAGCCUCUGCUCCUCCACCCUAUAAUCUUUUUAUCGCCUCCCCUCCUCACACCUGGUCGGGCUUACAGUUUCAUUCCAUGACUAGCCCUCCCCCACUUGCCCAGCAAUUUACUCUUAAAAAGGUGGCUAGAGCCAAAGGCAUAGUCAAGGUUAAUGCUCCUUUUUCUUUAUCCCAAAUCUGAUAGCGUUUAGGCUCUUUUUCAGCAAAUAUAAAAAUCCAGCCCAGUUCAUGACUUGUUUGGCAGCAACCCUGAGAUGCUUUACAGCCCUAGACCCUAAAAGGUCAAAAGGCCAUCUUAUUCUCAAAAUACAUUUUAUUACCCAAUCUGCUCCCGACAUUAAAUAAAACUCCAAAAAUUAAAUUCUGGCCCUCAACCCCACAACAGGAUUUAAUUAACCUCGCCUUCAAGGUGUACAAUAAUAGAAAAAAGUUGCAAUUCCUUGCCUCCACUGUGAGACAAACCCCAGCCACAUCUCCAGCACACAAGAACUUCCAAACGCCUGAACCGCAGCGGCCACGCGUUCCUCCAGAACCUCCUCCCACAGGAGCUUGCUAUACGUGCUGGAAAUCUGGCCACUGGGCCAAGGAAUGCCCGCAGCCCAGGAUUCCUCCUAAGCCGCGUCCCAUCUGUGUGGCACCCCACUGAAAAUUGGACUGUUCAACUCACCUGGCAGCCACUCCCAGAGCCCCUGGAACUCUGGCCCAAGCCUCUCUGACUGACUCCUUCCCAGGUCUUCUCGGCUUAGCGGCUGAAGACUGACACUGCCCAAUCGCCUCGGAAGCCCCCUAGGCCAUCACGGAUGCCGAGCUUCGGGUAACUCUCACAGUGGAAGGGUACACAGAAUGAUUACAUUUGUUCCUUGCUGUUAGGAGGAACAAGCAGAAGUUCCAUAUGCCACCUUCUUCUGCUACUGCAGCAACAAGUGAUAUUCGAGACAGUGAAGCCCCCAUCAAUUCUAGACUGAUAUGGAGCAGAGACGACCUCCUAUACACACUCCCACUACUGACCCAUGGUGGACAAGAAACCAGAAAUUUCAUUAUGUUAAGCUUCUGAGAUAUUUCUGUUUUUUCCACUGAACAUUAUUCUAAUUUAUGUGAUAUAUUUGAUUUUAGAGCUAACUUGUUCUAAAGCUUACAGUCUUUUGCUGGGCAGGGUAGCAGUUCCAGCCACUUAGUAGGCUGAAACAGGAGGAUGGCUUAAGCUCAGGAGUUUGAGACCAGCCUGGGCUAAAUAAUGAGACCCCAUCUCUUAAAAAUAUAUACAAAAUAUAUAAACAAAAAUAAAGCUUACAAUUUUUUUCAACAACAACCUUGUGUAUAGUUCAAACGGAUUUUGUACCCCAUACCUUAGUAACCUACUCAAUGUCAUAUAAGCCUUUCUACCUUUCAGAGUAUCUUCUUGUCAUUCCUUCUUAAAAUGCUCCUCCCAAAUCCUAUUCUGUCUUUUUUUACUACUUUUGAUCUGAACUGUCCAAUAUGUGACUUUGUCCAUAUGUGUCCACAUGCAACUAUUGAGCCCUUGAAAUAUGGCUAGUUCAAAACUGAGAUACACUGUAAGUAUAAUACUGCAUACUGGAUUUUGAACAAUUAGGACAAAAAGAAUAUUAAAUAUAUUCUUAAAAUUAAUUACAUGUUAAAAUGGUAUGUUGGAUAUAUUUGGUUAAAUGAAACUUUAUUAAAAUGAAUUAGCCCUGUUUCUUAUUUUUUUUUUUGUUUUUUGUUUUUAAUUGUGUCUGCUCAAAAAACUAAAAUUACACAAGUGGUUCACAUUUGUAUCUUGAGUAAUAUUUCCAUGGAGAGCACAAAAAUAGAUCCUGAUGAAAGAAUAUAUCCAUCUUAAAACUUUUCUUGAAGAUCUAAAUCAGCUACAGUGACUUUCUUUCUUUUGUAGGGAAGGGAAAAAUAUCUUUUCCUAACCCAUCUGCCUAUCCGAGGUUCUUAGCUGAGACACCUAUAACCAAAGGUAGAUAAACAUACAAAUUUCUUUAAAUAAGUUUUAUGAACACAGAACCCCUCACAAGAAAAUGGAGACCAGAAAAAACAGUUAAACUUGUGUAUGCUUAUGCCUGGAUUGAUGAAGAGUAGACAGUCAUGGAGAAAUAUGAUUGGACAAAAGUUAUGGAAAUAAACUGGGGAAACAGCAAGGCCUGUUUGUUCAGAUUUUUCUGUGUGGCUCUUUGUCUUGAGAUGAGAAUGUGCCUUUCUUCUGGGUAUAAGGAGGGUACCUCUUACAUAAGGUCUUAUAACCAGCUUGAGGGGAGAAGGGCAAGGGGAAGGUGAGAGUGACCUCCUAGCUUCUGCUAUUUUUCCAAAUGCCAAGCUGCCAUAUUUCAGUGUAGCAUGACCUGAACCCCAUCACUCCACAUCACCUUACUCUAUAAAUUCAUUUUGCUAUUUUUUCUAUUUAUAUUAGUCCAUUUUCAUACGCUAUGAAGAAAUACCUGAGACUGGGCAAUUUAUAAAGAAAAAGAGGCUUAAUAGACUCACAGUUCCACAUGGCUAGGGAGGUCUCACAAUCAUGGUGGAAGGUGAAAGAGGAGAAAAGCCACGUUUUACGUGGCAGCGGGCAAAAGAGUGUGUACAGGGGAACUCUCCUUUAUAAAACCAUCAGAUCUCAUUAGACGUAUUCACUAUUCACUAGCACCAGGGGAAAAACCCAUCCCCAUGCUUCAAUUACCUCCCACUGGGUCCCUCCCAUGACAUGUGGAGAUUGUGGGAGCUACAAUUCAAGAUAAGAUUUGGGGGGUAACACAGCCAAACCAGGUUACUAUUGUAUAUCAUUAUAUUAAUGAUGCUUAUCUGAAACAAUUGUCCUGUCUUAAUAGGUACAAAGCUUUUAAAAUUACAGAAUAUUUGUUAUUUCUCUGAGACCUCCCUACAGUACUUUGCAGUCUACUUUGUACAGAUUACACAUUCUAUGAACUGUUUUAACUGAUUUUGGACAGUGAGGUUUCUGAGGAAGACAUUGAUGGCAGGCUGCUUUGAUUUGUGAUUGUUGUAUCUAUUCUGGGCUCUCACCAAAUGCUCACUGGAGUAGACAUUUCAGAGUAUAAAAAAAAGUUAAAAAUUCAAAAACACAAAAGGCACUCAAAUAAACCAGGAUUUGAAAAUCACCAAUUUCAAUUUUUCUAAACUCUUAAUGAGAACCUCACCUGGUCUAUAAUUGAAGAUCAACCAAAGGUCAUGCAGAAAAACAAAAUAGAAUGUAACAAGUAAGCUCUUCUACUAUUUCAUGCUUAGGUACAUUGACAGCGGGCCUCAUAGAAAUGGGGCUAAUCUAAAAAUAAAUAUCCAUAUUUUGGUUUGAAGAAAUAAUUAUCCUAUGCAAGUUCUUAGACCCAUCUCUAGGAAUACUGAAAGACAGAUAUUUUUCUCACACAAGUAAAUAUUCUACCAUGUUUCAAAAAAAAGUGAAAGACAAUAAAAAUGGUAUUGGAAAGAGUGUGCUAAAGAUGACCAUCUGUUCUCCAGGAGGUGAAAGAAAAGGAGCUUAAAAUUACACUAAGGGACAUAGUAUGUUUACAAAGUAUACUAAUACUACAGAGACUGCUGGAGAAGGCAUUAAAGAAGUGUGCAGGGAAGCAGCAAUCAACUGUGCCCUAAAGCAGACAGGAGAAGCCAAGUGUAUGGCAAGGAUUGGGUCAAAGACCCUUCUGGGAAGUCAGCACACCCCUGCCUGAUUCAGGAUUUGCUGGGAGAGGCAGUUCAAAAAUCUAAGACUUUACUGGAUUGUCAUUGUCCACACACAAUCUGCUUAGUGAAACUUUCUAA